RNAcentral lists this ribosomal RNA (253 nucleotides) under uncultured bacterium. Its description in RNAcentral is "partial 16S ribosomal RNA". It matches the Rfam family "Bacterial small subunit ribosomal RNA", at positions 524 to 776 of the family's 1533-position model. The record is from RNAcentral.
UACGGAGGGGGCGAGCGUUAUUCGGAAUUACUGGGCGUAAAGCGUGCGCAGGCGGUGAUGUAAGACAGUUGUAAAAUCCCCGGGCUCAACCUGGGAACUGCAUCUGUGACUGCAUCGCUGGAGUGCGGCAGAGGGGGAUGGAAUUCCGCGUGUAGCAGUGAAAUGCGUAGAUAUGCGGAGGAACACCGAUGGCGAAGGCAAUCCCCUGGGCCUGCACUGACGCUCAUGCACGAAAGCGUGGGGAGCAAACAGG